UGAGUAACCUGCCCUUAACUCUGGGAUAAGCCUGGGAAACUGGGUCUAAUACCGGAUAUGACUCCUCAUCGCAUGGGUGGGGGGUGGAAAGCUUUAUUGUGGUUUUGGAUGGACUCGCGGCCUAUCAGCUUGUUGGUGAGGUAAUGGCUCACCAAGGCGACGACGGGUAGCCGGCCUGAGAGGGUGACCGGCCACACUGGGACUGAGACACGGCCCAGACCUCCUACGGGAGCAG
This 235-nucleotide ribosomal RNA is filed under the name uncultured bacterium. RNAcentral's name for it is "partial 16S ribosomal RNA". It matches the Rfam family "Bacterial small subunit ribosomal RNA", at positions 118 to 347 of the family's 1533-position model. The record is from RNAcentral.